AAACACGGGUGCAGCAGGCGCGAAAACUGCACAAUGUGGGAAACCACGAUGCGGGAAACCCAAGUGUCAGCACUAUGUGUUGACUGUCCUCGAGUGUUCGUAACUCGGGAAGAAAGUGCUGGGUAAGACGGGUGCCAGCCGCCGCGGUAAUACCCGCAGCACAAGUGGUGGUCAUUAUUAUUGGGCCUAAAGCGUCCGUAGCAGGCUUGUUAGAUGCCUGGGUAAAUCGAUGCGCUCAACGCAUCGACUUCCGGGUAGACCGGCAAGCUCGAGACCGGGAGAGGCGUGGGCUACUCGAGGGGUAGGGGUAAAAUCCUGUAAUCCUUCGGGGAGGACCAGUGGCGAAGGCGCCACGCUAGAACGGCUCUGACUGUGAGGGACGAAGCCCUGGGGCGCAAACCGGAUUAGAUACCCGGGUAGUCCCAGCUGUAAACUAUGCAAACUCAGUGAUGCAUUGGCUUGUGGCCAAUGCAGCGCUGCAGGGAAGCCGUUAAGUUUGCCGCCUGGGAAGUACGUACGCAAGUAUGAAACUUAAAGGAAUUGGCGGGGGAGCACGU
RNAcentral lists this ribosomal RNA (557 nucleotides) under uncultured euryarchaeote. RNAcentral's name for it is "bacterial SSU rRNA". It matches the Rfam family "Archaeal small subunit ribosomal RNA", at positions 318 to 881 of the family's 1478-position model. The record is from RNAcentral. Lineage: Archaea; Methanobacteriati; Methanobacteriota.